GUCGAGCGGAAGGCCCUUCGGGGUACUCGAGCGGCGAACGGGUGAGUAACACGUGAGCAACCUGCCCCAGGCUUUGGGAUAACCCCGGGAAACCGGGGCUAAUACCGAAUAUGACCUCUGACCGCAUGGUUGGUGGUGGAAAGUUUUUCGGCUUGGGAUGGGCUCGCGGCCUAUCAGCUUGUUGGUGGGGUGAUGGCCUACCAAGGCGACGACGGGUAGCCGGCCUGAGAGGGCGACCGGCCACACUGGGACUGAGACACGGCCCAGACUCCUACGGGAGGCAGCAGUGGGGAAUAUUGCACAAUGGGCGGAAGCCUGAUGCAGCGACGCCGCGUGAGGGAUGACGGCCUUCGGGUUGUAAACCUCUUUCAGCAGGGACGAAGCGUAAGUGACGGUACCUGCAGAAGAAGCGCCGGCCAACUACGUGCCAGCAGCCGCGGUAAGACGUAGGGCGCGAGCGUUGUCCGGAUUUAUUGGGCGUAAAGAGCUCGUAGGCGGCUUGUCGCGUCGACCGUGAAAACUUGGGGCUCAACCCCAAGCCUGCGGUCGAUACGGGCAGGCUAGAGUUCGGUAGGGGAGACUGGAAUUCCUGGUGUAGCGGUGAAAUGCGCAGAUAUCAGGAGGAACACCGGUGGCGAAGGCGGGUCUCUGGGCCGAUACUGACGCUGAGGAGCGAAAGCGU
RNAcentral lists this ribosomal RNA (682 nucleotides) under Micromonospora sp. 11725. Its description in RNAcentral is "bacterial SSU rRNA". It matches the Rfam family "Bacterial small subunit ribosomal RNA", at positions 61 to 762 of the family's 1533-position model. Lineage: Bacteria; Bacillati; Actinomycetota; Actinomycetes; Micromonosporales; Micromonosporaceae. The record is from RNAcentral.